AUUUGAGAAAAGCAAACUUAUUGAAAGAUAAGGACGCAAAGCUAUAGGGCCUAAUGCAUCAUUCUGUUAUGGUAGCCUGGUUGCCGAG
This 88-nucleotide non-coding RNA is filed under the name Pontibacillus marinus. RNAcentral's name for it is "c-di-GMP sequence". It matches the Rfam family "c-di-GMP-I riboswitch aptamer". Rfam says of the family: GEMM was predicted in a large-scale screen for bacterial structured RNA regulatory elements. Genes associated with GEMM are involved in a diverse array of functions, including chemotaxis regulation, signal transduction, secretion and chitin. RNAcentral also lists the same sequence under 1 other name. The record is from RNAcentral. Lineage: Bacteria; Bacillati; Bacillota; Bacilli; Caryophanales; Bacillaceae.